Molecule: long non-coding RNA, 3273 nt
Organism: Anguilla rostrata (American eel)
Lineage: Eukaryota; Metazoa; Chordata; Actinopteri; Anguilliformes; Anguillidae
Exons: 2
Source: RefSeq, a predicted model, not a curated record
UAAUGGCUCCACAGCAAAUACGCUGUAAGGGAGAACAACCUCCUUUCAAAAAAGCGAUGGGAGGAGAUGGCAUUUGCUUGUUCCGACUGGCGAAAACAAUCCGUGGUUUUGUGUGGCCUCUGAGCGCUGACGGGGGUCAAAGGUUACUGAGAAAAGCAAGUAAGGGCAGAGGGUAAAUCUUCAGAGGUCAAAACAGAGGUUAGCCCCCCCACACUUUCCAAGCACAGUGUCUGCAUGAGUGUAGAAUGAAGAGGAGAAACGUGUGCGGACAGAAGGGGUCUAGGGAGACUGAGGAAGUCACUGUUUCAUACAGCAAUGCUUCAAACUCAUCAGAAUCCCAAAGCUCGCUGCUUCGCUGGUGAUAAUUAUAUUUGGAGAUCUAAUUAUCUCCUUGACGAAAAUGGAGGGAUACCCUAAAAUUCAUUUUUUUAAGAAAAGCUCUCAGCAGCGACAGCAGCUCAGCUCGGAAUGGCAGCCACAACCAUUUUGUUGAAAACACCCGUUUCCUAAACUCCCACGCGACUCGGCCACCCCAAGCUUUUAAAAUCAAGUAGAAGCCGCAUCACAUCAUAAUAACAGGGUUGUUUUUAUGUCAACAGGCUUUUCCCUCUAAUGGAAAAAAAAGCUAAAAAUGGAAGGAGGUCACGAAGCCGUUGAUCCGCCCCGGCCUUUGGCUUGGCAAGGCUCUACAUCUUCCCCCAGAGAACUCCGAAAGCCCAGGAGAGCUUUCCGAACGUCGUUUACGAAGGUUUCGCAAAACUGUGCCGCACAGACCUUCGUCUCGGCUUAAAACAAUCGGGAAGCGUUUUGAAAAAGUAAAAUGUGAGUUCGGCUCGUAAUUUCUGCGCCUCCCGCCAAGAAAAAAGGUGCCUCGUCCGCACGACACUCGCCCACUCGCGCGAUUCGCUGUCGAAGAGCUUCGCCGCGGCGCGGCACACGCAUCAGCGCGAUCUACCCAGGCGGGGGGGCAAAGGGCAAUCUAGCCAAUAAAAUCAAGGGGUAUCCUAGGAAACAAGCUUCUUCCGCACAAGCCCUGUGCCGUAUAUAUUAGUCAAUAUGCUAAUGUAAACAGCGCUCGCUUCUCGUGUUGGAUUUGCAUCAAAGUGAUGAGUGUUUUUUCUUCAUUUUUCCAGGUUUGCAGAGAGCAGUCAUACAUAUAUUACAUAUAUUACAAGCUUUUAGCUGGGGGAGGGGGGGGGGUGGUGUGUGUGCAUAGAUGCCAGAACGGAGACACAAAAACACUAUCACCACGCAUGCCUUGUAAAAUAAAUUAUUUAAUUUAAGGUUUUACGACAAUUGUGAUGUCCGUUGACCGUCGUAAAUUAGUCACAAUGGGCCUACUUAUCCGGUGCAGCGCGGUCAAUAUAACCGUGAUUAAACGCCGCUGACAACAGCGACCCGCUAACUGCAAGCCCUUUCGCGCGAAGCAGGCCGGGGUUAUGCUGGAGUCGCUGCUAUCUGCUGUAAGCCUGUGUUAGCCACUGUUUAGCCGCAGUUACGCUGGAGCCACUGUUAGCCACUGUUAGUCGCUGUUAGCCACUGUUAGCCGGUGUUAGCCGCAGUUACACUGUUAGCCGCUAUUAGCCACUGUUAGCUGGUGUUAGCCUCAAUUACACUGUUAGCCGCUAUUAGCCACUGUUAGCCGGUGUUAGCCGCAGUUACGCUGUUAGCCGCUAUUAGCCACUGUUAGCCGGUGUUAGCCGCAGUUACACUGUUAGCCGCUAUUAGCCACUGUUAGCCGCUAUUAGCCACUGUUAGUCGCUGUUAGCCACUGUUAGCCGGUGUUAGCCGCAGUUACACUGUUAGCCGCUAUUAGCCACUGUUAGUCGCUGUUAGCCACUGUUAGUCGCUGUUAGCCGCUAUUAGCCACUGUUAGCCGGUGUUAGCCGCAGUUACGCUGUUAGCCGCUAUUAGCCACUGUUAGCCGGUGUUAGCCGCAGUUACGCUGUUAGCCGCUAUUAGCCACUGUUAGCCGGUGUUAGCCGCAGUUACACUGUUAGCCGCUAUUAGCCACUGUUAGUCGCUGUUAGCCACUGUUAGCCGGUGUUAGCCGCAGUUACACUGUUAGCCGCUAUUAGCCACUGUUAGUCGCUGUUAGCCACUGUUAGCCGCUAAUUGAGACAAACACUUAACCUCCGUCAGGAAGCAGCUGUGUUUGAUCAGAAAAAACUACCUCCUGAUGCUACUCCAGUCAAUAUGUGCGUGCUGUUGCAGAUAAAAUGCAUCAAUGACUUAAUUUAUCCACAAGAAUUAUAUUUUAGACGGAUAGUACGGUGAAGAUUGCUUGCUGCUACUUUCUUUGCCUGUUCUUGAUUAUGGUGAUCUGGCAUCCAUGAACGCUUCGAAUCACUGCCUUCACAUGUGGGAUUCUGCGCAUCAACGGGCUUUGAGAUUCAUUUCCAACUGCAGAGCCCUGAACUCAUCGUUGCUCAUGUUUUUAUUUGCAAUGCUAUUUUUGGAUGACUUCCCUCCUAAUUUCUGCAGAUUAAUGGCACUCACAUGUGAAGGCAAUUCUAGGUUGCGGUUUCAUGGCUGUUUGUAAAGUUCCCACUGAGUUUGGAGAGGAGGCCUUCAUGCAUUCUGCCCAGAAUAGCCUUCAGAAAGAGCUACAGCUUUGGGGUUUGGCAACUCUCGGGGCAUUUAAAACUCUUGUCAAGAGGUUGUGAACAGAUUCUGUGGGAAAUUGCAAAUGGUUUUUUUUUUGGUUUUUUUUCCGCACUGUAAUUCGAUUGUCUUCAUACUUUUUUUGUACGCUUUUCAUGUUGUAUUUGUCUAAAACAAAAUGUGCUGCCCUUCUUGGCCAGGAGAUCUCUUGUAAAAGAGAUUUUAAUCUCAAACCUGGUACAAUAAAUAAAUAAAUAAAUAAAUAAAUAAAUAAGGCUGUAGUCCAGGUGGAGGGAGACUGGGAGAUGUAAGGAAGUUUUGCCCAAGCUUUCUCAGAAAUACUUUACAUGUGAAUUGUCUCUCUUAUAGUACAUGUUUACUGAUUCACUUAUAGUACAUGUGUACAUACAGUGAGCCCCAUAAUGUUUGGGACAAACACAUUUUUUUUUCUCAAUUUGAGUCUGUACUUUUCUGCAAUUUUAGAUUAUGGGAGAAAGUACAAAACAUGACUACAUUUAUUUAUAUAACAUUAAUAUGCCCCAAACAUUAUGGUGCCCUGAAAUGCUAUGCGUAAAACUGCCAACACAGUUUCUCAUAGUAAUUUCUACAUGGCGAAACCAAACUGCACAAAACGCGCCCUCAGAUAAAAGGUGAAACCGUACACUUCAA